GCUUACCGAGGACAUGACCUUAGAUAGGAGGGUAUGGAGGACUCAUAUUAGGGUAGAAGGCUAGUAGGUAGUCGCGUUUAUCCUUUCUUACGAGUAGUUAUAUUGCUCUAUAGUUUCUUGUCUCUUGAUUUCUGCGAGUAUCUGUUGGUUUAUAAUGGCUUAUUUACUUUCAUUGUUUUCAUUUUCAUAAUUGCUUUGAUUUGUUUGCCCGUAUCUGACCUUUCCUAUGCUUUUUCUUGAGCCGAGGGUCUUCCGGAAACAGCCUCCCUACCUAAGGUGGGGGUAAGGUCUGCGUACACUCUACCCUCCCCAGACCCCACGUUGUGGGAUUCACUGGGUAUGUUGUUGUUGUUGUUG
Molecule: long non-coding RNA, 357 nt
Organism: Lycium ferocissimum
Lineage: Eukaryota; Viridiplantae; Streptophyta; Magnoliopsida; Solanales; Solanaceae
Exons: 2
Source: RefSeq, a predicted model, not a curated record